RNAcentral lists this ribosomal RNA (279 nucleotides) under uncultured bacterium. RNAcentral's name for it is "partial 16S ribosomal RNA". It matches the Rfam family "Bacterial small subunit ribosomal RNA", at positions 506 to 784 of the family's 1533-position model. The record is from RNAcentral.
UGCCAGCCGCCGCGGUAAUACGAAGGGAGCUAGCGUUGUUCGGAAUUACUGGGCGUAGAGCGCGCGUAGGCGGCUUUUUAAGUCAGAUGUGAAAGUCCACGGCUCAACCGUGGAAGUGCAUUUGAAACUGGGAGGCUUGAGUAUUGGAGGGGGUGGUGGAAUUCCCGGUGUAGAGGUGAAAUUCGUAGAUAUUGGGAAGAACACCAGUGGCGAAGGCGGCUAACUGGCUCGGUACUGACGCUGAGGUGCGAAAGCGUGGGGAGCAAACAGGAUUAGAUA